GUGGAUUAGAUACCCUGGUAGUCCACGCCGUAAACGAUGGAUACUAGCUGUUGGGCGCAAGUUCAGUGGCUAAGCGAAAGUGAUAAGUAUCCCACCUGGGGAGUACGAACGCAAGUUUGAAACUCAAAGGAAUUGACGGGGGCCCGCACAAGCGGUGGAGCAUGUGGUUUAAUUCGAUGAUACGCGAGGAACCUUACCAAGGCUUAAAUGUAGAUUGACCGGUUUGGAAACAGAUCUUUCGCAAGACAAUUUACAAGGUGCUGCACGGCCGUCGCCAGCU
RNAcentral lists this ribosomal RNA (280 nucleotides) under uncultured bacterium. RNAcentral describes it as "partial 16S ribosomal RNA". It matches the Rfam family "Bacterial small subunit ribosomal RNA", at positions 773 to 1060 of the family's 1533-position model. The record is from RNAcentral.